This 206-nucleotide ribosomal RNA is filed under the name uncultured bacterium. RNAcentral describes it as "partial 16S ribosomal RNA". It matches the Rfam family "Bacterial small subunit ribosomal RNA", at positions 1296 to 1500 of the family's 1533-position model. The record is from RNAcentral.
GAUUGCAGGCUGCAACUCGCCUGCAUGAAGUCGGAAUUGCUAGUAAUCGUAGGUCAGCAUACUACGGUGAAUACGUUCCCGGGGCCUUGUACACACCGCCCGUCAAACCAUGAGAGUUGGCAACACCCGAAGUCGGUAGUCUAACCGCAAGGAGGACGCCGCCGAAGGUGGGGUUGAUGAUUAGGGUUAAGUCGUAACAAGGUAUC